CCCGCACAAGCGGUGGAGUAUGUGGUUUAAUUCGAUGCAACGCGAAGAACCUUACCUGGUCUUGACAUCCCGGAGACCCUUAGGAAACUAGGGGGUGCUUCCAUCUGGAAGAAUCUGGAGACAGGUGCUGCAUGGCUGUCGUCAGCUCGUGUCGUGAGAUGUUGGGUUAAGUCCCGCAACGAGCGCAACCCUUGCCUUUAGUUGCCAGCAGUUCGGCUGGGCACUCUAAAGGGACUGCCGGUGUUAAACCGGAGGAAGGUGGGGAUGACGUCAAGUCCUCAUGGCCGUUUAUGACCAGGGCUACACACGUACUACAAUGGCCGAUACAAAGGGCAGCGACACUGCGACGGUGAAGCCCAAUCCCGUAAAAUCGGUCUCAGUCCGGAUUGGAGUCUGCAACUCGACUCCAUGAAGUUGGAAUCGCUAGUAAUCGUGGAUCAGCAUGCCACGGUGAAUACGUUCCCGGGCCUU
This 471-nucleotide ribosomal RNA is filed under the name uncultured Desulfobulbus sp. RNAcentral describes it as "bacterial SSU rRNA". It matches the Rfam family "Bacterial small subunit ribosomal RNA", at positions 920 to 1382 of the family's 1533-position model. Lineage: Bacteria; Pseudomonadati; Thermodesulfobacteriota; Desulfobulbia; Desulfobulbales; Desulfobulbaceae. The record is from RNAcentral.